CAGCAGCCGCGGGAAUACGGAGGGUGCGAGCGUUAAUCGGAGUAACUGGGCGUAAAGGGCACGCAGGCGGUUAUUUAAGUGAGGUGUGAAAGCCCCGGGCUUAACCUGGGUAUUGCAUUUCAGACUGGGUAACUAGAGUACUUUAGGGAGGGGUAGAAUUCCACGUGUAGCGGUGAAAUGCGUAGAGAUGUGGAGGAAUACCGAAGGCGAAGGCAGCCCCUUGGGAAUGUACUGACGCUCAUGUGCGAAAGCGUGGGGAGCAAACAGGAUUAGAUACCCCAGUAGUCCCUGUCUCUUAUAC
This 301-nucleotide ribosomal RNA is filed under the name uncultured bacterium. RNAcentral describes it as "partial 16S ribosomal RNA". It matches the Rfam family "Bacterial small subunit ribosomal RNA", at positions 509 to 807 of the family's 1533-position model. The record is from RNAcentral.